This is a long non-coding RNA of Mus musculus (house mouse), 2622 nucleotides long. RefSeq annotates it as predicted gene 10652. The transcript has a single exon. The record is from RefSeq and is marked validated. NCBI's taxonomy places the organism in Eukaryota, Metazoa, Chordata, Mammalia, Rodentia, Muridae.
GCUUUCAUCGUUCUUAGAGAAGGAAACAAAACAACUAGAAAGACUGGAAGGUAAAGGUGGCACUCUUUCAAAAUAAAGUCUAAGACUAUGUGGACUUUAGAGAGAUGAGUUCAGCCAAGACCAUCGGCAAACAACGUCAAUAUGUCACUGUAACAGUUUUGCAGGGGGACAGAGUCCAAUCUGAACAACAGUGUUAAUAAAACACAAAACCCACUGGGAAGCUAUCGCCAGCCUAUUGUGUGAUGCAGUUAAGCUGUUAUGCGAGUCCUCUCUUUUUCAACUUUUAAUCCUGUGAGAUAGCUUCUAAACUGCGACUCCAUUUAUAACAGGCACUGGGCACAGCCAUAUACUCUCCGUGUCUCUACCCGGAAAAUGGAUGAUAACACCUUCAGAAGGGACCACACACGUGUAUGCUUGAAGGGGAAUGCGGACCUCCCACCACCAACUCGAUUGUUCUGAAUAUAAGCCGGAUCCCACCCACACUAUUGCCACUGUUUUGUUUUUUUUUUUUCUCAGCAUCAUGGAUUGUCUUACUGUAAGAACGUUUCCUGCACCAGCCCCUUUCCUACAGAGGAGUGGGACCCAGUGCCAAACCCAACCCUGUGGAGCUUGGUGGUGAUGUAAUCUAUGUGACCAUCAGUGAUCCUCAAUGCAAACUAAGCUAAGCAAGCCUCUCCUUAAAACCCACGUGAAGAUCAAGGUGACCACACCAACCCUGGCACCUGGACUGACUCGUGGGAUGGAGAAGAACAGAAUAUCCCUGAUUUGGCUACUCCACUGCUUUCCCAAGCUGGGAAUAUGGUGUUUACAUUAUUUCCAGCCCUAAGAGACUGUUACACACAGCGCCUCUUCCUUUGAACUUACUCUAACAUGAGUGGCCAGGAUGCAAACUCCCUCAAAACUCUUAAAAGAAAUUACUCCCCACUAAACUGAACCCAUCUAUUCAAGACUUUUCGGCUCAGGGCCUCAAGAGCUGGCCGUUGGGGUCAACCCAGGUCUUCCUGUCUUACAGAGAAAUGUAGGCCCUCUGCAAUAUUCUUCUAAUCUCACUUAAGACAGGAGAGACUUAUCUGGUGGAGGCCAGGGAAGAAAUGAUGGGUACAGAGUGACACCCUGAAACCCGAACUGCCGCUGGCAGCGAGGGUAGAAGCCACGAAGCCUGCUACACUUGGUGUUUGCCUCACUCACAGCUCCCGAGUGUGUCAAUCAUUCCUGCUUCAAUCGCUGAACUGUUCUACUCUUCAGUGAACCUUCUAGAAAACAAAAUGUCCGAAGCUGUUACACUGAAUUCCUUUAUAAUUCAAUUACUUAUUGAUGCCAGAACACUGAAUUAAAUUAAUUAGGAGGCAUGACUUGAAGUCAUGCUCAAUUUAAGAGCAGAUAAAGAGCCGCAGUGUUCAGAGUAUUAAGACAACCCCCUCCCCCUCUCUCUCAGCACUUCUUUUUGGGGGGUUUCUCUGACCUAUCAACAGUAUCUGAUUGGUCAUAAUGCAAACCACCACCAUUUUUUUAAAAUGUCAUAGGACAUCACAGGUUCGUUUCUCCCAGAUAUUGGCAAGUAAGUCACGAUACAAGAACUCGGAGACACGAGUGAUCCCUUUAAAUAGCUGCCUCCGGCAGAAGCAAUUACCAAUAGAGAGAAUUGUGGAGACAGGAGAUGCUAACCGAUCAGGAUGCUACCCAAUCACAAGAGGGUGGCAAAUCCCUACAAUAAAUCCUUUCAUAGGGGUCUUAAGGAAGUUUCAAAAAUAUACAAGACAGGUCUAGGCACUUAAGAAGAGAGCAACUCCAUUUUUCUAGAAAGUUCACAUGGCCUGAAACGUCAAAUCACCACAAAGAUCUGUAGAUGUGUGCAUGCAAGAAGGCAUAGGAGAAAGGGGUCACUGACUUAUCUUAUGGAAACCCAAAGCCCUCCUAAUCAUAGAUAUAGCUUCCUUAGGUCUAGCACAUCUCACACUGUCUUCCUAGAGCUAAGCCAAUUUAUGGUCAGAAAAGCCAUUACAAUCGUAGUUACAUUGUAACAGUAGAGGGAUGGCUCUCACUGACCUCAAAAUGUACAUGACAUAUUUGACAGCUCAGCGAGGGUGAGAAUAAUUUGCAUCAGCACAUUUUCCCAAAAGGGGGAAAUUGGGGGCACUCAGUGGUUAAGAGCACUGACUAUUCCCUGGGUUCAGUUCUCAGCACCUUUAAGGCAAGGCUCUCAAACCCUCGGUAACUCCUAGCCCCUGAACGUCCUAUUCAGGCCUCCCAGGCACACUCAGCAUACAGGUCUAUACAGGCAUGCAAAACACUCAUACAUACGCCAAAAAAAAAUUUAAAAGUGUGUGAGUGGAGCGUCUGGGUUCCUUAACGGAAGCCAAGACAAGAAUGAAAUUUUAGCUUUUUAAAACAAUUAAUAAUAACAACAAUAGUAAUAGCUUUACAGACUAUAAACUCUCAGAGGGUCGGUGCCCUGCCUGGGUUAGAAGAGAAGGUCUCCAUGCUGCGUCCAGCAGAAGUCUGGAAUCGGCUGCCAUUUUUCAGCAGCCUGGAAAACGUAAAAAUAAAAAUAUUUUUAAGUAAAACAACAAAAAAAAUUAAUAAUAAAGUCAAAGGCAAUUAACUCUGGAGAGUUCAAACCUU